AGUGAACGCUGGCGGUAGGCCUAACACAUGCAAGUCGAACGGCAGCACAGUAAGAGCUUGCUCUUACGGGUGGCGAGUGGCGGACGGGUGAGGAAUACAUCGGAAUCUACUUUUUCGUGGGGGAUAACGUAGGGAAACUUACGCUAAUACCGCAUACGACCUACGGGUGAAAGCAGGGGAUCUUCGGACCUUGCGCGAUUGAUGAUCCGAUGUCGGAUUAGCUAGUUGGCGGGGUAAAGGCCCACCAAGGCGACGAUCCGUAGCUGGUCUGAGAGGAUGAUCAGCCACACUGGAACUGAGACACGGUCCAGACUCCUACGGGAGGCAGCAGUGGGGAAUAUUGGACAAUGGGCGCAAGCCUGAUCCAGCCAUACCGCGUGGGUGAAGAAGGCCUUCGGGUUGUAAAGCACUUUUGUUGGGAAAGAAAAGCAGCAGGUUAAUACCCCGCUGUUCUGACGGUACCCAAAGAAUAAGCACCGGCUAACUUCGUG
Molecule: ribosomal RNA, 491 nt
Filed under: uncultured bacterium
Lineage: Bacteria
Description: partial 16S ribosomal RNA
Rfam family: Bacterial small subunit ribosomal RNA
Source: RNAcentral